Long non-coding RNA from Stylophora pistillata, 4715 nucleotides. The record is from RefSeq and is a predicted model, not a curated record. Lineage: Eukaryota; Metazoa; Cnidaria; Anthozoa; Scleractinia; Pocilloporidae.
CUAGAGCCGAAUGGUUGGCGGAAAGAUAGCUUGCUUAUUAGUGACUCGACAUGCAGGAUCGAGCAAACCACGAACAACAGUCGAUAAAUAUGCUAGGGAUUAUUGGACAAAAUUAACCACUGGGGGGGGAGGGGGUGGUAAAAUACGAUUCUACUUAGUAGCGUUUUGUUAUUGCCAAAGAUUUUUCCAUUUCGCACGGGAGUAAUAAAAAACUAACAUUCACGAAUGAAAAAUCCUGAUAGGCCUUUUAGAAGUAAUCAAGAAACCUUGACAGCUACGAAAGAGAAUCUCCCUCAACGUACUCCCCCUAAGUAACGCUUUGGAGUCAUUCAGAUUCAAGUUUCACGUUGCCUAUUUACGUAGCAAGACAUUCAGCGAGAGAUUAUUUGCAUUUACAAGCAAGGAGUAAUUUGUUUCGCUCGAGUAAUUUGAAUUCAGAAGUGGACUUUCUCUAGUUAGGAGGCGGUCAUUCUGAGACGAAUUCACAAAUGUGACUCAUAACCGUGAAGAAGAGUUCAUUCGUGAACGAACAGAAGGGCUGCAUUGACACGAAAUGGAGCAGACCCGGAAGUCAAGAACAAAGCACAGCUCUGCGCGUCUGUGUAUCGUUGCGGAAACAUAGGAAUGUUGUUUGUCACUGCGAGAUUUAUUAUGGGUCUAAAACCCGGUUAACAGUCAAAUGAGUCCCUCGAAAAACUUUAAUAUCCCUUUGAAAUUCACCGAACUUGCGAAACCGUCGAACAGCACCCGAAAAAUUUCCAUAAUUUGCCUCGAAGCUCGUAAUUUACACUUCCACAAUCACAAGACAUUUGGGUGCGACUCGCAAAACACCCACGCAAAAUUCACUUGACCUGAAGGAGAUCACGUGAACGAAUUCGCCCGCGUUUUGCGCAAUAUUAUACGUGCUGUAAAGCCGCCGUCAGUAUACGGAAAUACUUAUGCGGAAACUGGUGGCCACCAUGUUCUGCUCUUCAUUACAAAGCUGUCCAAAGUACAAUAUUUUUUUUAAAAAAUUAAUCUCAUUUACUCCAAGGUACUGAAUGCUCUCGUUGUGACCAUUGCGAGUCUAACAUUCGCGCAUAUUCUCAAUUGUUUUAAAACUUUCCAUCAUUUCCUUCAUUAAAACGCACUCGAUCAAAGUUUACCAUUCCAUCACGUCCAGGUGUUAGCGGCCAAAUUUAUAAUUUUGAUACCGGUUUACGUUCUUUCUUUCGCGUAAGCGCAUCAGAUGCUACCUUGAGCCUAAAGAAAAAGCAUGGAAAUUAGCCACUCAGCUCGGAAGCGGCGUACAAAGCCAUAAAUUUGCAUCGCGGAAAAAAAGAGCGAAUUAUAAUUCACUUCCAAUAUGUUCACUUAAGUUUCAAUUGAAAUGACCCUUCUGACGCAAAGAAAAAUAGAGGUCGCCUUCUGCGUGCAAUCACACUUCCUACGGCUUUGACGUCACCGUGCAUACGUGCGAUAUCUUCAAACAUUUCCUGACUUGUUUGAUAGGUACUCUUUAUCUACGGAGUUUCUUAACCAAACGGCUACAAGACCAACCACAAACCCUCCACACAUACUGCAACCCUUUGUUACAGCGAUAUAAAUAGAGCGGUAUGUAUGAAGCGUUUGAUUCGCUUUUGCGAUUCGAAAUUCUGUGGUUUCAGCCCGAUCUAGAAUGCUUUGGAAGGUAAAAAUGAAAUCGAAAGAGCAGCAUUUUCUGUUUGACAAUAAGUUAUCUCAACAUCUACAAAAUUAGAAGGAAUAUCAAGUUCCUGCUCGACAAAAUUUUUGAAAAAAAAUUUUGAGCGGACUGAUUUAAAGAUGUGGUCGAAGUAACAAACCCUAAAUUUGGCUUCUUACCGCGAAUGAGUUUAAGUCUAACCGAAAUUUUCCUUAGUAACCAUUUUACGAUAUCGAACGCAGUCACUGAGAUGUCGGAGUCUUUGAAUACGUGUCUGAUGGUAGCGGCGCGCGUGUGAGAAUGCACACCUUCGUACAUCGUGCUUCGAGAGGGCACACUUCACGCUUCCGAUCUACACCGAACUCGCGCCGAUAUAUAGUAACAAUGCCUUUCAGGCAAAGUAAAAGUUGCCAGGUACGUUAUUAACCCAAGACAAAUAAAUAAGGGGGUGGAGCCAUUCAAUUAUCUUUGCAAAUCUGUACACUGGAACAAUGAUUUUAAGAAGUAUCAGAAAACAUCUGCAUGCUGUCUUGCGAAUUGCCACUGCAUUUGGAAGGAUGCUGAAGAUAGCCGGCCGAACACUGCCGAAGAACACCGAAGAAAAUAGCAAGGAGCCGAAGAAAGAUCUUCCUAAUGGCAGCUUCUUCGUUACAUUGGGGUUCGUUGAAGGUCGUUAAUGACCGCUUUACAAUAUGCUACACAGAAUCUAUAGAUACGAAGUAACCACAUCAUAAGACGAGACUGUUCCCACUGAGGCUAAGCUAACUUUACACUACCAGGACGUUCAUUUUACGUUACCGGAAUGCUUGCAAACAAGGAAUGAGCUAAAGCUGGAUUUGAAAACAGUAGCAAUUGCAAUGAGAGAAAGGUUACUUAGAAGAUCAUCCAAGAAGGGGGAGGAAGAGGGAUCUGCAAGAUACGUGCAAAGAAAAAUAAUCAAGUAGACCUUUGGGAGAGGAUAACUGAGUAAAUGGCUUUCUGACUGGGUGUCUUGGUAUAACAAAGAGGCUUGAUAGAAAAACAUAUAGGAUGAUGUACAUAGAGCUGAUGGAUGGAUUGGUAAGUAAUUGCAUUGGGAAGGAAAUGGAAGGAAAAGAGGUAAAAUAAGAGAAACACUGAAAAAAGGAAGAAACGAAAAAAGGACGAGAGGGAAAAGAAGGAAAGAUUCCAAAACGUGGUUAAAUGUUUUGAGAAGUAACGAGCACAGCCUGGGUCAUAACACACUUUCAAAAGUGUUUCCUGAUUGCCCAUCAACAAAUGUCAAGUGAAGUUGCAGCAAGAUCACUACGCAUACAGGCUUAGGAAAAACUGAAUACCAAGAAUGAAAUGUUCUGGAAAACAAGUUUGAUAUUUAAGCAAAGGAAUCCUACGAGGAAAUCUCUCAGGAUUCCAAAUCUAAUUGCACGUGUUCAUUGUAUGAAUGCAGUCAAACAGGAAAUUUUGGAAGAGCUACGACAAUUCCAGAAGGCACAACGACAACGUAUUUGUAUAUAAGCAAAGAAAAUUUAGGGAAAUUAUUACGAAAGAAAGCAUCGAACCAGUUUCGAAUCAAAAGCUAUGCUGCACAUGAUAACAUCCACCUGGAUAACGUGGGCAGUACGAAAAUAAAAGAGAAGGAAGGAUUUUUUUCCUGAGGGCCGGCUUCAGCUUCGACAGAGAAUAAUAAAGCAUGAGCGACGGUGAAUUAUUGCAGUGUGCUGGAGUUUCAGUAUCAACUGGAAUAAAGCUUAAGCCGGUCCCCUUAUAGUAAUGUCAAGCGAUUGACCACAUCGAUGCGCGAGCAGCUAAAAGAAAAGAUCAGAGAUUGAAAUUACACCAACGUUAGAUGCGGACUGAGAAAGAGUUGCCCCGAGCGAUUCAACAGUUCAAGGUAUGUCGGCAGUGUAAGUUUCCCAUCAUAAUUUUAAACAAUAAAAAAAAGCACUCGGACGAGACAAGUGAACCAAAAAGCGACUUGAACAGUCCGGAAUUCGAAAGGGCGAGUACGUUUGAAUAGAUCUGAGCCGUGGCCAGUUUAUGUCCCAAAAAAGAAUAGAGGUCAAGUUAAACAAGGCAAUCAAGAAAUUUUUGCUUGUAGGCCUAAGGCAAAAAUCGGCUCGUAAAAUUUUUAAGAGAAGAUCUUGAGGCUUUUUCCCAUAUUUUGAAACGCUUAAUCUCCACAUAGUUAGGGCUCAAAAGCCUCUUCUUGAGGAUGAUAUGACAUGUGCCCGCUUUUCCAAGAUUAGGGUGGCUUUCUAUUCCAGCAAAAUGAAACAGAUAUUAAAUUUUAGCCGCGCAUAAUAAAGUCUUGUACACAUGUCCGCACACGAAAGCUUUCGCUAAGCUACUUUUGUUUAAUUUUGUUUUGUUAAACCAGCGUUAAUUAAAAAACAUUAAACCUAAAAUGCUUUGCUAUCGUCUCAACCCGAUCUACGCUAAAAUGUUUAAGGUUCCCAUGAUUUUUCUGCAUGGAAACGUUACUAUCUUGAUCAUGGUGACAAUUCAUAGAGGUUUUAUUCACGAAAAAAGAACUGAAAGAUUUAUUUCAUGCUAUACCGCCGCUCCAAUGACUCGUGUCACGUACGUUUGCAUAUAGAACGCCUUAACUGAAAUAUCAUGUGAAACCGAACAAAACCCAAAGAAAUAAUUUUCCGUGUUUGCGGCCAAGUUGUCGAAUCGGGUUUUACUGAAUAUUUCUGAAGUAAUUUCUCGUAACGUUUCUGUUGAUGCUAAAAUUCUGUUGAAAGGGCACCAAGCCGAGGCACAUUGGAUGUCGCGUGAUUACAUUGGAAAAGCCUCGUUACUCCAUAAUCUUACACACUACUUUCUUAAAAAAGCAUUUUAAAGGCGUGAAAAGAUCUUACCUGUAGGAAAAAAUAGCUUUUAAAGUAGGACCAACACAUAUCAGAUCACAAAAUAGAGCGAUCUAUGUUCCCGGCUAGAACCUUAAAAGUGAAACGAAGAGCUGUUGAACCCGGCUUCGACAGAGGCGAGAUGUAGAUGACGAAUUUGACUUUCUCGAAAAGGGAAUCUUAAGCGGAAUUUCAAAACAGGUAUCAGGCAGCAAAGGAAA